AGGGAAUCUUCCGCAAUGGGCGAAAGCCUGACGGAGCGAUGCCGCGUGAGCGAGGAAGGCCUUCGGGUCGUAAAGCUCUGUUGUCAGGGAAGAAGGACUCGGGUUCGAAUAGGGCCUGAGGGUGACGGUACCUGACGAGGAAGCCCCGGCUAACUACGUGCCAGCAGCCGCGGUAAUACGUAGGGGGCGAGCGUUGUCCGGAAUCACUGGGCGUAAAGGGCGCGUAGGCGGCCGGUUAAGUCUGGUGUCAAAGGCGACGGCUCAACCGUGGGGAGGCACUGGAAACUGGCCGGCUUGAGUGCAGGAGAGGGAAGCGGAAUUCCCGGUGUAGCGGUGAAAUGCGUAGAGAUCGGGAGGAACACCAGUGGCGAAGGCGGCUUCCUGGCCUGUGACUGACGCUGAGGCGCGAAAGCGUGGGGAGCGAAC
RNAcentral lists this ribosomal RNA (426 nucleotides) under uncultured bacterium. RNAcentral describes it as "bacterial SSU rRNA". It matches the Rfam family "Bacterial small subunit ribosomal RNA", at positions 356 to 773 of the family's 1533-position model. The record is from RNAcentral.